AUUAACCAUAAAAAAAGUAAUCAAUUGGACUUUAUCAAAAUGAAAACUCUGCUCAUCAAAAGACACUGUUAAGAAAAUAAAAAGGCAAGUCACAGACUGGGAGAAAAUAUUUAAAUAUAUAUGUUUGACAGAAUAUAUAAAGACUGCAUACAAUCCAACAAUAAAAAUACAACUCAAUUUUUAAAAUCACAAAAGACAUAAACAUUUAACAAAGGUAGGUGUAUGGACGGCCAAAAAGGACAUGAAAAGGUGCUCAAUAUCAUCAGUCAUCAAGAAAAUAUGAAUAAAAGCCACAAUGAGAUACCAUUUCAUGCCCAUUCGAAUAGCUAAAUUUUGAAAGACUGACUAUUCCAAGUGUUGGUAAGGAUGUGGAGCAACUGGGACUCUCAUUCAUUGCUGCAAUGACGUAAGCUGUGGAACCAAGAUUGGGCCAUGCCAGGAAGGCUGAGCAGAGUUAAUCUCAUGCUGGAGAAAACAAGAACAAAAACAAGGACAUGAAAAGGAAUUGAACUGGGCUUGGAUCGGGCCACAUGGUUGACUUGGGGAAAUAUCCUGAUAACUCUGUAAUUGAGCUACCUGGGCCAAGGAGCUAGUUCACAGCCAGGAUUAGGGUGUACAUUCUCCUGAGGAGAAUUUAUCCACCCACAGUCAUUCCGCCUGGAGGGAGGUCAAUCCUGAGGCGGAUGAUGGGGCCAGCAGUGGAGGGAAGGAGACUCUGUUAUGGGAUUGAGGGGGCAGCUGAGGAUGGCUUUCCACUGGCAGAGGUUCAGUUAUUCUGUGUCACGUGAGAAUGGCUGCGAAUUAGAGACUCUGAGGUAGGUUUUGGGUCUCUGAGUCUGAACACUAGCAAACCUCAUGGUUGUUAUAACCACGUUGGUGGUUCCUUUCUAUGAACCCCAAGCUUUUCACAGCGUCUCUCUGAAAGUCACAGGCUGGUCUUAUUUGUGCUGUGGGACAUUGGAGAGCCAGCACAGGGGGCUCAGCAGCAGCACCUGUGGAGAGAGACAGACAGAGGGACUGAGAGAGCCGGGAAGUAUGGC
Molecule: long non-coding RNA, 1040 nt
Filed under: Equus caballus (horse)
Lineage: Eukaryota; Metazoa; Chordata; Mammalia; Perissodactyla; Equidae
Description: lncRNA (ENSECAG00000045165.1)
Source: RNAcentral